Molecule: ribosomal RNA, 432 nt
Filed under: uncultured bacterium
Lineage: Bacteria
Description: partial 16S ribosomal RNA
Rfam family: Bacterial small subunit ribosomal RNA
Source: RNAcentral
AACGAACGCUGGCGGCAGGCCUAACACAUGCAAGUCGAGCGAGCAUUUCGGUGCUAGCGGCGGACGGGUGAGUAACGCGUGGGAACGUGCCCUUUCUGCGGAAUAGUCCUGGGAAACUGGGGGUAAUACCGCAUACGCCCUUUUGGGGAAAGAUUUAUCGGAGAAGGAUCGGCCCGCGUUGGAUUAGGUAGUUGGUGGGGUAAUGGCCCACCAAGCCGACGAUCCAUAGCUGGUUUGAGAGGAUGAUCAGCCACACUGGGACUGAGACACGGCCCAGACUCCUACGGGAGGCAGCAGUGGGGAAUCUUAGACAAUGGGGGCAACCCUGAUCUAGCCAUGCCGCGUGAGUGAUGAAGGCCUUAGGGUUGUAAAGAUCUUUAAGCUGGGAAGAUAAUGACGGUACCAGCAGAAGAAGCCCCGGCUAACUACGUG